Molecule: ribosomal RNA, 648 nt
Filed under: uncultured archaeon
Lineage: Archaea
Description: bacterial SSU rRNA
Rfam family: Archaeal small subunit ribosomal RNA
Source: RNAcentral
CCUGGUUGAUCCUGCCGGACCUGACUGCUAUCGGAUUGGUACUAAGCCAUGCGAGUCGUUGUAGCAAUACAAGGCGGACUGCUCAGUAACACGUAGUUAACUUAACCUAUGGAUGGGAAUAACCUCGGGAAACUGAGAAUAAUACCCAAUGGGCCACAGUGCCUGGAAUGGCCUGUGGUUGAAAUGAUUUAUCGCCGUAGGAUAGGACUGCGGCCUAUCAGCUUGUUGGUGAGGUAAUGGCCCACCAAGGCUAUAACAGGUACGGGCUCUGAGAGGAGGGGCCCGGAGAUGGGUACUGAGACACGGACCCAGGCCCUAUGGGGCGCAGCAGGCGAGAAACCUUUGCAAUGUGCGAAAGCACGACAAGGUUAAUCCGAGUGUCUCCUGCUAAAGGAGUCUUUUGUCAGUUGUAGAAUCACUGGUGAAUAAGGGGUGGGCAAGUUCUGGUGUCAGCCGCCGCGGUAAAACCAGCACCUCGAGUGGUCAGGAGGUUUAUUGGGCCUAAAGCAUCCGUAGCCGGUUGCAUAAGUUUUCGGUUAAAUCUAUGCGCUUAACGUAUAGGCCGCCGAAAAUACUGUGCAGCUAGGGAGUGGGAGAGGUACACGGUACCUCGAUAGGAACGCGUAAAUCUUUGAUCUAUUGAAGACA